AGUGAACGAGGGGGGGAGGAGGAACACAUGCAAGUCGAACGGCAGCACAGUAAGAGCUUGCUCUUACGGGUGGCGAGUGGCGGACGGGUGAGGAAUACAUCGGAAUCUACUUUUUCGUGGGGGAUAACGUAGGGAAACUUACGCUAAUACCGCAUACGACCUACGGGUGAAAGCAGGGGAUCUUCGGACCUUGCGCGAUUGAAUGAGCCGAUGUCGGAUUAGCUAGUUGGCGGGGUAAAGGCCCACCAAGGCGACGAUCCGUAGCUGGUCUGAGAGGAUGGUGAGCCACACUGGAACUGAGACACGGUCCAGACUCCUACGGGAGGCAGCAGUGGGGAAUAUUGGACAAUGGGCGCAAGCCUGAUCCAGCCAUACCGCGUGGGUGAAGAAGGCCUUCGGGUUGUAAACACCUGUGGUUGGGAAAGAAAAGCAGCAGGUUAAUACCCCGCUGUUCUGACGGUACCCAAAGAAUAAGCACCGGCUCACUUCGUC
This 492-nucleotide ribosomal RNA is filed under the name uncultured bacterium. RNAcentral's name for it is "partial 16S ribosomal RNA". It matches the Rfam family "Bacterial small subunit ribosomal RNA", at positions 29 to 507 of the family's 1533-position model. The record is from RNAcentral.